Molecule: long non-coding RNA, 398 nt
Organism: Anopheles arabiensis
Lineage: Eukaryota; Metazoa; Arthropoda; Insecta; Diptera; Culicidae
Exons: 3
Source: RefSeq, a predicted model, not a curated record
AGUGUGCAGGGGAUGCAUCAUCAUUUGAAAGUGCAAAUGAGUGUUCGUGUUUGCGUGUGUUUCGAAAAUAUACGCAAAUGGUUGAACUACAUCAAAAUCGCUUCCAGUAGUGCAAAGAUGGCAGUACUGCAAGUUGACAAACAAUUCCAUUAUGCCAGCACUAGGUGGUAGUGACAUCGCAGUUGUAUCGGUAUCAGACAUCGUCUAGCUACAGUAUACACGCAACGCAAGCGGACUACAGCAUUGACCAUAAAUUAGUGAAUAGGAACGAAAGGAUGCUCAAUAAAGCUGUACAUCAUCAACAGACACUACCAAACACAUUCUUGUCACUGAAGCUUACAUUUGAAGGAUGUUUUUGUGGUUGAGAUGGUGCAGGAUGCAGACGGAAUUGCACACAA